CAUUUAGACAGUUUUCUUUAAUUAACGAUGAAGACACUACAAUUCUAAGUACCAGACAGAAUUGGGAGUAAAAGAAUUGAACACAAGCAUGACACUAUAAAGAAAGCUUGGAAGAGUGAAACACUUCUAAAGGAAAAAAAAUUAUAAACCUGGCCUGGUACCCAUUACAUAUAUACAUCAUACGUUAUCCACAUAUAUACAGUAAAUGUUUUGGUAGCAACAUAGACCAUGCGUCGGUCUUUUGUACACAGAUGAAGUAGCACCGUCGAUAGCACCACCAUCUUCAGAUGAUAAACCAAACUACACACAGCAAAUGUUUGGGGCUGACAUUGUUCACUGGUCUCUCUUCAGUAACUCAGUAAUCCUUGAGGGAAGAGAGCGAGUAGGCUUGCCUUCUUCUUACCUUAGCAAGAAUCUGAGUCAGAAUACUUAAAAAAAAAAAUCACUUCAACAACGAGAGUCUUUUCUCACACAUUUGUAAAAGACCAACUUCCACUUCCUAUUUUCAAAGCCAGUGGGGUUUUCUACUGACAGCAAAUGAUGUCAUUCGGCGAGUUCCUUGAAAACAAUGAGUUCUUAUGACUAGAGACCUAUUUACCUUAGAAAUUGAUGAGCAUGCAAAUGAUUAGGAUCUGCAACACUGAACAUUGUACAUCUGGUUGACUGAACACUAACCCGAGCCUCAGCAGUUGGGGGUCUGUUUAUCUCGUUGAAUAGAGUCAGGGGUCCCCAACCAGUUGUUCAGGGCAACUGGGCACUGCGGUGCCUUCCUUCCAACCCUUGCUCCUUCCUUGU
Molecule: long non-coding RNA, 795 nt
Filed under: Rattus norvegicus (Norway rat)
Lineage: Eukaryota; Metazoa; Chordata; Mammalia; Rodentia; Muridae
Description: long non-coding RNA NONRATT029565
Source: RNAcentral